UACGAAGGGGGCUAGCGUUGUUCGGAAUUACUGGGCGUAAAGCGCACGUAGGCGGAUCGAUCAGUCAGGGGUGAAAUCCCAGGGCUCAACCCUGGAACUGCCUUUGAUACUGUCGAUCUGGAGUAUGGAAGAGGUGAGUGGAAUUCCGAGUGUAGAGGUGAAAUUCGUAGAUAUUCGGAAGAACACCAGUGGCGAAGGCGACUUACUGGACACAUAUUGACGCUGAGGUGCGAAAGCGUGGGGAGCAAACAGG
Molecule: ribosomal RNA, 253 nt
Filed under: uncultured bacterium
Lineage: Bacteria
Description: partial 16S ribosomal RNA
Rfam family: Bacterial small subunit ribosomal RNA
Source: RNAcentral